Molecule: long non-coding RNA, 602 nt
Organism: Bactrocera neohumeralis
Lineage: Eukaryota; Metazoa; Arthropoda; Insecta; Diptera; Tephritidae
Exons: 2
Source: RefSeq, a predicted model, not a curated record
UGCACUUUUGCAAAUUGGCUUAAACGCUCAACAAUCUAGCUGUGUGCAUUUGCCCUGCAUGUGUGCACAAGAAUGUGUGUUGAUCAGCUGCAAUUGCAACAGGUUGUAAUCAAUAUUUGCACAACAAUAAAUUGGAAUAUGUCUCGGAAGCUUUGUUUACUUCGCAGGUUUAUAUUCUUUGGUUUGUAAUUUGCCGCCAAUACUAUCAACGUGUUGGAGCGUAUGUACAAAUAUGGCUGUGGACGGUUGCAAUUGCAGUUUUGCAUUGUUGGGGGUCGGCAAUGCACGAUUUUUUGAUAUGCGAACAUUUAUAUACAUACACACAUACAUAUACAUACAUAUAUGUAUGUGUAUCAAAUGCACAAAGAAGACAGUGUACAUCGCGUGCCGUGUACUGUUUAUGGUUUUGAAAUAGCGGUUGCAUCCUGUCAUGGUUAAUUGGAGAAAGGGGUGGUCAUCUGCUAAUAAGUUUCGCUGAUUGGUUCUUAUCGAUAUUACAUAGUGUUUGGCAAUUAAUUAAUUUACGCAGCUCCAGGAAUGGUGAUAAAAUUAAUUUAUGUAGAUAUGCAGAAAUAUAAUUAUUUAUAUGUAUGUAUAUCCAA